UUGACAGGGCUGUAGACUGAAGUCCCCCAUUUAUCCAGACAGCAGGUGCAGCAUAGGCAACAGCAAUUGAAGUUUCCCCAUGUUGACCUACCUAGCAUAUUUGUGUCCUGACUUUAAAGAAACAAUUCUAAGAUAUGAGGAUAUUUCAGUCUCCAGGGGCCAUCUACUCUUAGCCCUC
RNAcentral lists this small RNA (178 nucleotides) under Chelonoidis abingdonii (Abingdon island giant tortoise). RNAcentral describes it as "TUC338 (ENSCABG00000014651.1)". The record is from RNAcentral. Lineage: Eukaryota; Metazoa; Chordata; Testudines; Testudinidae.